This 790-nucleotide ribosomal RNA is filed under the name Pedobacter sp. Its description in RNAcentral is "bacterial SSU rRNA". It matches the Rfam family "Bacterial small subunit ribosomal RNA", at positions 66 to 857 of the family's 1533-position model. The record is from RNAcentral. Lineage: Bacteria; Pseudomonadati; Bacteroidota; Sphingobacteriia; Sphingobacteriales; Sphingobacteriaceae.
GCGAUUAAGGUGCUUGCACCUUAUGAAAGUGGCGCACGGGUGCGUAACGCGUAUGCAACCUACCUUUAUCAGGGGGAUAGCCCGGAGAAAUCCGGAUUAACACCGCAUAAAAUCACAGGAUAGCAUUAUCUAAUGAUCAAAUAUUUAUAGGAUAAAGAUGGGCAUGCGUGUCAUUAGCUAGUUGGCGGGGUAACGGCCCACCAAGGCGACGAUGACUAGGGGAUCUGAGAGGAUGGCCCCCCACACUGGUACUGAGACACGGACCAGACUCCUACGGGAGGCAGCAGUAAGGAAUAUUGGUCAAUGGAGGGAACUCUGAACCAGCCAUGCCGCGUGCAGGAAGACUGCCCUAUGGGUUGUAAACUGCUUUUAUCCGGGAAUAAACCUACUUACGUGUAAGUAGCUGAAUGUACCGGAAGAAUAAGGAUCGGCUAACUCCGUGCCAGCAGCCGCGGUAAUACGGAGGAUCCAAGCGUUAUCCGGAUUUAUUGGGUUUAAAGGGUGCGUAGGCGGCCUGUUAAGUCAGGGGUGAAAGACGGUAGCUCAACUAUCGCAGUGCCCUUGAUACUGAUGGGCUUGAAUGGACUAGAGGUAGGCGGAAUGAGACAAGUAGCGGUGAAAUGCAUAGAUAUGUCUCAGAACACCGAUUGCGAAGGCAGCUUACUAUGGUCUUAUUGACGCUGAGGCACGAAAUGCGUGGGGAUCAAACAGGAUUAGAUACCCUGGUAGUCCACGCCCUAAACGAUGAACACUCGCUGUUGGCGAUACACAGUCAGCGGCUAAGCGAAAG